This is a long non-coding RNA of Mustela erminea (ermine), 876 nucleotides long. RefSeq lists it as uncharacterized. The record is from RefSeq and is a predicted model, not a curated record. Lineage: Eukaryota; Metazoa; Chordata; Mammalia; Carnivora; Mustelidae. The transcript has 3 exons.
AUACCACAUUUUCUUUUAUUUGUUCAUCUGUUGUGGACACUUAGGUUGCUUCCAUGGCUUAGCUAUAGUAAAGAAUGCUGCAUUGAACAUGGGGGUGCAGACAAUCUUUUCAAGUUAAUGUUUUCUUUUCUUUUCUUUCUUUUUUUUUUUCAGAUAAAUACCCAGAAAUAGAAUUGGCUAGAUCACCAGAAUCUUUAGAGUGAAUGAAAUCAGACUAAUUUAUGGUAUUGAAACUAAAGGAAUGAAUUUUAACUGACUGCCUGUGUACCUAAUUCUAGUCCUUUUCAGCCUUGUGCUGUUUGUAGUUGUGAAAUUUUUGUGAAAUUUGAAAGAAUUAAAACCAAGAUUUUGUAAAGGGUAUACAUUUAUCAUGAAUAAUAUCCAUAUAUGUGAAAUAUUCAUGACUGUAUUAGCAUACAGAAAUGAAGUGUAGAAAAUUAUAACUUUUUAUUGAUAAAUGACUAUAGGGCAAGAAAGUAUAUUACGUUAUUGUGAGAUGCUCAGGCGCACUUUUGGAAUCAGCAUGACCUUUUUUUUUUUUUUAAAUUUUUUGGUGGCUUAAGACUAACCGUAUAAAAUUAGCAGUUACUUGGUAGGGAUAUUUUGAUAUGACUUAAGGAAGCAAAAUAAAGUAAUAUUCCAAGUCAGAAGUCAGUCUUCUGUUUUUCUUAGCUUUUUGAAACCCAGUCUCAAUUGAAUUGAGAAGUGAAACAGGUUUCUUAGUCCUGGAGAAAGUUGUCAUAAAACCAUACACAAAGUACUUCUGUACUUUGAUUCAAAAUCGUAAUAUCCCCUAUUUAGAGUAUUAUUUAAUGGCUACAUAAUUUUCAAACUAGAAUCUGUUGGAAGCACUGGGAAGUGAAAAAGAGUAUCAUG